AUUGAACGCUGGCGGAAUGCUUUACACAUGCAAGUCGAACGGCAGCACGGACUUCGGUCUGGUGGCGAGUGGCGAACGGGUGAGUAAUACAUCGGAACGUGCCCAAUCGUGGGGGAUAACGUAGCGAAAGCUACGCUAAUACCGCAUACGAUCUAAGGAUGAAAGCGGGGGAUCGCAAGACCUCGCGCGAUUGGAGCGGCCGAUGGCAGAUUAGGUAGUUGGUAGGGUAAAGGCCUACCAAGCCGACGAUCUGUAGCUGGUCUGAGAGGAUGAUCAGCCACACUGGGACCGAGACACGGCCCAGACUCCUACGGGAGGCAGCAGUGGGGAAUUUUGGACAAUGGACGCAAGUCUGAUCCAGCCAUUCCGCGUGCAGGAUGAAGGCCCUCGGGUUGUAAACUGCUUUUGUACAGAACGAAAAGGCUCUGGUUAAUACCUAGGGCUCAUGACGGUACUAUAAGAAUAAGCACCGGCUAACUACGUGCCAGCCGCCGCGGUAA
RNAcentral lists this ribosomal RNA (500 nucleotides) under uncultured bacterium. Its description in RNAcentral is "partial 16S ribosomal RNA". It matches the Rfam family "Bacterial small subunit ribosomal RNA", at positions 30 to 523 of the family's 1533-position model. The record is from RNAcentral.